RNAcentral lists this ribosomal RNA (446 nucleotides) under uncultured bacterium. Its description in RNAcentral is "partial 16S ribosomal RNA". It matches the Rfam family "Bacterial small subunit ribosomal RNA", at positions 338 to 795 of the family's 1533-position model. The record is from RNAcentral.
CCUACGGGAGGCAGCAGUCGAGAAUCAUUCACAAUGGGGGAAACCCUGAUGGUGCGACGCCGCGUGGGGGAAUGAAGGUCUUCGGAUCGUAAACCCCUGUCAUGUGGGAGCAAAGUAGGAAAAUAGUACCCGGAGAGGAAGAGACGGGUAACCAUGUGCCAGCAGCCGCGGUAAUACAGAGGUCUCAAGCGGUGUUCGGAAUCACUGGGCGGAAAGCGUGCGGAGGCUGUUUCGUAAGUCGGGUGUGAAAGGCGCGGGCUCAAACCGCGGACGGCAACUGAUACUGAGAGACUAGAGUAAGGGAGGGGGAACCGGAAUGCUCGGUGUAGCAGUGAAAUGCGUAGAUAUCGAGAGGAACACUCGUGGCGAAGGCGGGUUCCUGGACAUUAACUGACGCUGAGGCACGAAGGCCAGGGGAGCGAAAGGGAUUAGAUACCCGAGUAGUC